Molecule: ribosomal RNA, 335 nt
Filed under: uncultured bacterium
Lineage: Bacteria
Description: bacterial SSU rRNA
Rfam family: Bacterial small subunit ribosomal RNA
Source: RNAcentral
AUUGAACGCUGGCGGAAUGCUUUACACAUGCAAGUCGAACGGCAGCACGGGGGCAACCCUGGUGGCGAGUGGCGAACGGGUGAGUAAUGCAUCGGAACGUACCCAAUCGUGGGGGAUAACGUGGCGAAAGUCACGCUAAUACCGCAUACGUCCUGAGGGAGAAAGCAGGGGAUCGCAAGACCUUGCGCGAUUGGAGCGGCCGAUGUCUGAUUAGCUAGUUGGUGGGGUAAAAGCCUACCAAGGCGACGAUCAGUAGCUGGUCUGAGAGGAUGAUCAGCCACACUGGGACUGAGACACGGCCCAGACUCCUACGGGAGGCAGCAGUGGGGAAUUUU